GCAACUGAGGCCGUCACGGCAGUUUGUCCGUAAAAAAUUAUAUCGUGUUUAUACACACAUUGGAUCACACAUCAAGAUGAACUAUCCACGCGACUUGGUGUAGAUGAUUGAUCCAUAUUUUCCCGCAUUUAUUUAUUUAUGUCUUCUAUUGUCAUGCAAUAUCAAUCAGUCACAAAGCUGUUCGUAUGUAGAUACGUACGUAGCAAUCCUUGUUUUUGCCCUCUCUGACAUAACACGUCUGCGUGUGCAUCUUCUGUCGUC
Non-coding RNA from Paramuricea clavata, 261 nucleotides. NCBI's taxonomy places the organism in Eukaryota, Metazoa, Cnidaria, Anthozoa, Malacalcyonacea, Plexauridae. The record is from the annotation of a GenBank genome assembly.